Molecule: ribosomal RNA, 537 nt
Filed under: uncultured bacterium
Lineage: Bacteria
Description: bacterial SSU rRNA
Rfam family: Bacterial small subunit ribosomal RNA
Source: RNAcentral
AAUAGAUACCCCGGUAGUCCACGCCGUAAACGGUGGGCACUAGGUGUGGGCGACAUUCCACGUCGUCCGUGCCGCAGCUAACGCAUUAAGUGCCCCGCCUGGGGAGUACGGCCGCAAGGCUAAAACUCAAAGGAAUUGACGGGGGCCCGCACAAGCGGCGGAGCAUGUGGCUUAAUUCGACGCAACGCGAAGAACCUUACCAAGGCUUGACAUACACCGGAAACGUCCAGAGAUGGGCGCCCCCUUGUGGUCGGUGUACAGGUGGUGCAUGGCUGUCAUCAGCUCGUGUCGUGAGAUGUUGGGUUAAGUCCCGCAACGAGCGCAACCCUUGUCCCGUGUUGCCAGCAGGCCCUUGUGGUGCUGGGGACUCACGGGAGACCGCCGGGGUCAACUCGGAGGAAGGUGGGGACGACGUCAAGUCAUCAUGCCCCUUAUGUCUUGGGCUGCACACGUGCUACAAUGGCCGGUACAAUGAGCUGCGAUACCGCGAGGUGGAGCGAAUCUCAAAAAGCCGGUCUCAGUUCGGAUUGGGGUCUG